RNAcentral lists this ribosomal RNA (476 nucleotides) under Streptomyces sp. Its description in RNAcentral is "bacterial SSU rRNA". It matches the Rfam family "Bacterial small subunit ribosomal RNA", at positions 990 to 1458 of the family's 1533-position model. Lineage: Bacteria; Bacillati; Actinomycetota; Actinomycetes; Kitasatosporales; Streptomycetaceae. The record is from RNAcentral.
CCGGAAAGCAUCAGAGAUGGUGCCCCCCUUGUGGUCGGUAUACAGGUGGUGCAUGGCUGUCGUCAGCUCGUGUCGUGAGAUGUUGGGUUAAGUCCCGCAACGAGCGCAACCCUUGUUCUGUGUUGCCAGCAUGCCUUUCGGGGUGAUGGGGACUCACAGGAGACUGCCGGGGUCAACUCGGAGGAAGGUGGGGACGACGUCAAGUCAUCAUGCCCCUUAUGUCUUGGGCUGCACACGUGCUACAAUGGCCGGUACAAUGAGCUGCGAUGCCGUGAGGCGGAGCGAAUCUCAAAAAGCCGGUCUCAGUUCGGAUUGGGGUCUGCAACUCGACCCCAUGAAGUCGGAGUUGCUAGUAAUCGCAGAUCAGCAUUGCUGCGGUGAAUACGUUCCCGGGCCUUGUACACACCGCCCGUCACGUCACGAAAGUCGGUAACACCCGAAGCCGGUGGCCCAACCCCUUGUGGGAGGGAGCUUCG